Corvus hawaiiensis (hawaiian crow) is the source of this 1669-nucleotide long non-coding RNA. RefSeq lists it as uncharacterized. The transcript is spliced from 2 exons. The record is from RefSeq and is a predicted model, not a curated record. Lineage: Eukaryota; Metazoa; Chordata; Aves; Passeriformes; Corvidae.
GGCAAGCCUGCAUUUUAAAUGUGUCGCAUGCUCAAAAAAACUGUCUACCCUAGGCCAGUCCCAAGGCGUGAAUAUUAACGAAAGAGUUUCCCCACAUGAACAACAUGUACUGUCACAUGCCUUAUGCCUGCCUCGAAUUUAAAAUAGCCUGGUGCAGCCAUAGAGAAGUCUCAUGUCACUGUAACUCCACAUCAACUGCAGGUAAAUGCUGUGGGUGAUACUGUUCUGCUGGGAUGCAUUUCCAGCUAGCUUCCAGAACAGCUCUCCUGUGGGGAAUGGACUUGAUCUGGGCUGAGUACGGCUGGACUUUGAGGACUCCAGGCAUGCUGGCUUGGGUGCACAGGGGCAGAGCUGUUUGUCUCACUAUUUCCACACGGCUGCUUUAUUUUUAACUGCCAGGACUGAAUUUCCCAAAAGGACUGCAUCUCACAGACAACAGGAUAUUAAAUGUGUUUUUAAGCAUUGUACGGUCUGAUCAAAAAACCACGAGCAUGACCAGGAGUGUUCUCCAGCUGAUGAGAAUUGAUUCUGAAUUAGACCAUAAAAGAAGGAUGCACUGUGACAGAAUUUUGUAAAUUUGGGCUUUUUUUUCUUUUUAGUAAGAAACUGGCUUUUCAAGACCCAUCCUAGUAGGAGAAUAUGCAGUGUUAGCGCCGUGGUUCACCCAAUCAACCACUUGUGAUCAGUUUAUUCUCCCUGAGGUCUGAAGGUCUCUGCACUUUCCCAAGGAGCUUCCUAUGACUCAAAGAGCAACCAUCGGAGGACACAUUAGAUCAACAAUUUCUAGACAAAGAACAGAAAUCAGACUGCUUGCAAGGAUACCAGCUGUUGAUGUAUCAUCAUAGCUCUUCUACAAUAGUGGAAGGGUUGUUUUCUUUUUAUACAAUUAUGUCAAGAGGAAUUAGUUAUAAGGCUGUCCUCAUAUGGUUGUUUGGAGCAUUAAAGCCAACAGCUUCUUUAGCAACCAUCCCAGCUUCUGGGCAAAUAUCCAUGGCAGCUUUGGGAGCUCUCUUUAGUUCUGGAUGCCCCAUAAAGAAACACCAUUUAUACUGAAUUAACUAGCUGCUAGUUCACCCCUAAUGCCAGGACUUGAUGUAGUGAAGCAAAACUACGGUGAAGUAAUGAAAUCAAUAAUGUUAUUAAAAUAACUUGCAGCAGAGUUACCAGACACCCUGCUGGCGAAUCUCUCAGUACCUAAAGGGAUGUCAGCAGGAACAUGCCAGGGCCACAGAUAACAGCCAAAAGCCAACUUGCCUUCACCCCACUCAGGGGAGCUUUUCCAGAAUAUCACAGGGGCAGGCACCCAGAGACAGUCCCAGGAUGGAUGAGGGUAAGCUUGGGUGGGAUGGCAGCAGAGAAGAGAGGACAAGCAGUUCCAAAAAGGUAGUUUUUGGCUUGGAGUUUUGCAUAAGAAAGCUUUUGUAGCACUAAUGCAGCUAGAGUGAGACAUUACCAGGAUCAGUGCACACUUUGCACUGGAAAAAGCUGUCUGGAAAAGAUUAAUCUGGUCUUGAAGGCCAGAUGUAUCUUGGUUGGCCAUUGAGAAGCUGGAGGGUCUGGCUCAUUGACGGAUGCAGUGAAGACAAAACAGCUCUGCUUGGCCUGAAUCUCUGUGUUUAAAAACACAUUUUAGUGUCAAUGCAUAACUGAAUAAAGAAGAUUAACUAUA